GGGGAGUAAUGGGAUCAUUGCGCGUGAUCGAACUCCAACUUGUUGCUUUCAUAAUGGUUUUCUCGGCAACUGGGCUUGUCCCACUUCUUGAUUUAGUAUUCCCAGCAUUUGCUUCUGCUUAUAUUUUAUUGCUUUCUCGGUUGGCCUUCCCUUCAAAUGGCAGAGUCAGUUCUGGCUCGCAAGAGAUUUUUCAAGGAAGCAAAUUCUUUUGGUUGUAUGUUAUUGUGGGAACCAGAGUGGGUCUGUUCUUGCCUCUUCAUACGUUUUAGGUGGUUCGCAAGAGGUGAUCAUGCAGUUCGA
RNAcentral lists this unclassified non-coding RNA (300 nucleotides) under Hevea brasiliensis (rubber tree). The record is from RNAcentral. Lineage: Eukaryota; Viridiplantae; Streptophyta; Magnoliopsida; Malpighiales; Euphorbiaceae.